GACGAACGCUGGCGGCGUGCUUAACACAUGCAAGUCGAACGGAAAGGCCCUGCUUUUGUGGGGUGCUCGAGUGGCGAACGGGUGAGUAACACGUGAGUAACCUGCCCUUGACUUUGGGAUAACUUCAGGAAACUGGGGCUAAUACCGGAUAGGAGCUCCUGCUGCAUGGUGGGGGUUGGAAAGUUUCGGCGGUUGGGGAUGGACUCGCGGCUUAUCAGCUUGUUGGUGGGGUAGUGGCUUACCAAGGCUUUGACGGGUAGCCGGCCUGAGAGGGUGACCGGCCACAUUGGGACUGAGAUACGGCCCAGACUCCUACGGGAGGAAGAAGUGGGGAAUAUUGCAAAAUGGGCGGAAGCCUGAUGCAGCAACGCCGCGUGCGGGAUGACGGCCUUCGGGUUGUAAACCGCUUUCGCCUGUGACGAAGCGUGAGUGACGGUAAUGGGUAAAGAAGCACCGGCUAACUACGUG
RNAcentral lists this ribosomal RNA (468 nucleotides) under uncultured bacterium. RNAcentral's name for it is "partial 16S ribosomal RNA". It matches the Rfam family "Bacterial small subunit ribosomal RNA", at positions 28 to 507 of the family's 1533-position model. The record is from RNAcentral.